GACGACGCUGGCGGCGUGCCUAACACAUGCAAGUCGAGCGAAUGAAGUUCCUUCGGGAAUGGAUUUAGCGGCGGACGGGUGAGUAACACGUGGGCAACCUGCCUCAUAGAGGGGAAUAGCCUUCCGAAAGGGAGAUUAAUACCGCAUAAGAUUGUAGUACCGCAUGAUACAGCAAUUAAAGGAGCAAUCCGCUAUGAGAUGGGCCCGCGGCGCAUUAGCUAGUUGGUGAGGUAACGGCUCACCAAGGCGACGAUGCGUAGCCGACCUGAGAGGGUGAUCGGCCACAUUGGGACUGAGACACGGCCCAGACUCCUACGGGAGGCAGCAGUGGGGAAUAUUGCACAAUGGGGGAAACCCUGAUGCAGCAACGCCGCGUGAGUGAUGACGGCCUUCGGGUUGUAAAGCUCUGUCUUCAGGGACGAUAAUGACGGUACCUGAGGAGGAAGCCACGGCUAACUACGUG
RNAcentral lists this ribosomal RNA (463 nucleotides) under uncultured bacterium. RNAcentral's name for it is "bacterial SSU rRNA". It matches the Rfam family "Bacterial small subunit ribosomal RNA", at positions 33 to 507 of the family's 1533-position model. The record is from RNAcentral.